UGGGGAAUCUUCCGCAAUGGACGAAAGUCUGACGGAGCAACGCCGCGUGAGUGAUGACGGCCUUCGGGUUGUAAAGCUCUGUUAAUCGGGACGAAUGGUUCUUGUGCAAAUAGUGCGAGGAUUUGACGGUACCGGAAUAGAAAGCCACGGCUAACUACGUGCCAGCAGCCGCGGUAAUACGUAGGUGGCAAGCGUUGUCCGGAAUUAUUGGGCGUAAAGCGCGCGCAGGCGGAUUGGUCAGUCUGUCUUAAAAGUUCGGGGCUUAACCCCGUGAUGGGAUGGAAACUGCCAAUGUAGAGUAUCGGAGAGGAAAGUGGAAUUCCUAGUGUAGCGGUGAAAUGCGUAGAUAUUAGGAAGAACACCAGUGGCGAAGGCGACUUUCUGGACGAAAACUGACGCUGAGGCGCGAAAGCCAGGGGAGCGAACGGG
Molecule: ribosomal RNA, 429 nt
Filed under: bacterium
Lineage: Bacteria
Description: partial 16S ribosomal RNA
Rfam family: Bacterial small subunit ribosomal RNA
Source: RNAcentral